AUUGAACGCUGGCGGCAGGCCUAACACAUGCAAGUCGAGCGGAUGAAGGGAGCUUGCUCCUGGAUUCAGCGGCGAACGGGUGAGUAAUGCCUAGGAAUCUGCCUGGUAGUGGGGGAUAACGUCCGGAAACGGGCGCUAAUACCGCAUACGUCCUGAGGGAGAAAGUGGGGGAUCUUCGGACCUCACGCUAUCAGAUGAGCCUAGGUCGGAUUAGCUAGUUGGUGGGGUAAAGGCCUACCAAGGCGACGAUCCGUAACUGGUCUGAGAGGAUGAUCAGUCAAACUGGAACUGAGACACGGUCCAGACUCCUACGGGAGGCAGCAGUGGGGAAUAUUGGACAAUGGGCGAAAGCCUGAUCCAGCCAUGCCGCGUGUGUGAAGAAGGUCUUCGGAUUGUAAAGCACUUUAAGUUGGGAGGAAGGGCAGUAAGUUAAUACCUUGCUGUUUUGACGUUACCAACAGAAUAAGCACCGGCUAACUGCGU
This 483-nucleotide ribosomal RNA is filed under the name uncultured bacterium. RNAcentral describes it as "partial 16S ribosomal RNA". It matches the Rfam family "Bacterial small subunit ribosomal RNA", at positions 30 to 506 of the family's 1533-position model. The record is from RNAcentral.